GACGAGCGCUGGCGGCGUGCCUAAUACAUGCAAGUAGAACGCACAGUUUAUACCGUAGCUUGCUACACCAUAGACUGUGAGUUGCGAACGGGUGAGUAACGCGUAGGUAACCUGCCUGGUAGCGGGGGAUAACUAUUGGAAACGAUAGCUAAUACCGCAUAAUAUUAAUUAUUGCAUGAUAAUUAAUUGAAAGGUGCAAUUGCACCACUACCAGAUGGACCUGCGUUGUAUUAGCUAGUAGGUGAGGUAACGGCUCACCUAGGCGACGAUACAUAGCCGACCUGAGAGGGUGAUCGGCCACACUGGGACUGAGACACGGCCCAGACUCCUACGGGAGGCAGCAGUAGGGAAUCUUCGGCAAUGGACGAAAGUCUGACCGAGCAACGCCGCGUGAGUGAAGAAGGGUUUCGGAUCGUAAAGCUCGGUUGUAAGAGAAGAACGGGUGUGAGAGUGGAAAGUUCACACUGUGACGGUAUCUUACCAGAAAGGGACGGCUAACUACGUG
Molecule: ribosomal RNA, 505 nt
Filed under: uncultured bacterium
Lineage: Bacteria
Description: partial 16S ribosomal RNA
Rfam family: Bacterial small subunit ribosomal RNA
Source: RNAcentral